GAUGAAGAACGCAGCGAAAUGCGAUAAGUAAUGUGAAUUGCAGAAUUCAGUGAAUCAUCGAGUCUUUGAACGCACAUUGCGCCCCCUGGUAUUCCGGGGGGCAUGCCUGUCCGAGCGUCAUUGCUGCCCUCAAGCACGGCUUGUGUGUUGGGCCUCCGUCCUCCUCCCGGGGGACGGGCCCGAAAGGCAGCGGCGGCACCGCGUCCGGUCCUCGAGCGUAUGGGGCUUCGUCACCCGCUCUUGUAGGCCCGGCCGGCGCUUGCCGACACAUCAAUCUUUUUUCCAGGUUGACCUCGGAUCAGGUGGGGAUACCCGCUGAACUUAAGCAUAUCAAUAAGCGGAGGA
Molecule: unclassified non-coding RNA, 345 nt
Filed under: soil metagenome
Description: partial contains 5.8S ribosomal RNA, internal transcribed spacer 2, and large subunit ribosomal RNA
Rfam family: 5.8S ribosomal RNA (bases 1-120)
Source: RNAcentral